UUAUGAUAAAACGUCGCAAAA
This 21-nucleotide non-coding RNA is filed under the name Caenorhabditis elegans. Lineage: Eukaryota; Metazoa; Nematoda; Chromadorea; Rhabditida; Rhabditidae. The record is from RNAcentral.